Molecule: non-coding RNA, 315 nt
Organism: Caenorhabditis elegans
Lineage: Eukaryota; Metazoa; Nematoda; Chromadorea; Rhabditida; Rhabditidae
Source: Ensembl
UUUCCGGGCGACUGUUGUGUGUUGCCCUUCUCUUCUCUAGUUUUUUAUUGAUUUUUAUCUACUUUUUGCUUGAUUUAUUCACUUUUAAAGUUGAAAACUGUGCUCUGGAAAAGAAAAAAAAACGACUGCAGACGCACUGUCAAGGAACCAUCCAAUAAAGUGGACUCAAUUUCCUUGUAAAGGCUCAAUCUUCUGUUUUUUCAACCAUCGGAAAAUAAACUUAGAAACAGUUCCAGAUUUGCGUUCCAGGACUUUUUGAAGGAAACAAUUUGAUAAAUAACCAUGAAUAAAUUUUUUUUAAAUAUUUUAAUUUUG